AAGAUGCACAGCAUCAAAGACAGUAGUUCCAGAAUUCUAGGAGCCAAAUAAUGGCAAAGGAAGCAGUGGCCCACAGUGAAACAGGACCACGGGACAUGGCUGUGAAGAACAGAGGAGGGAGUCAGCUGCCAAAUGGAUUAAUUUGGGAAAGGACUGAGACGGGCUCCCAACUUUCCAGAUAGGCUAGAAGAAAGCCUCCUUUGUGCCCAGGCUGUGAGAUGACGUUCCCCUCCGCAGACUCCAGCCAGGAUGACACACCGAGGCUGGAGUGUGGAUGAGAAUUUGCACUGGUCAGAAGAGAUGGAGAGCCUGUAAUCUUGUGGAAAUAUUUGAGAUGACUGUACUAUAUACCAGUUUGUCCUCACUAUUUGACAUAUCCGUGACAUCUCUUCCUCCAGAAUGGCAGCAAACAAUAAGCAGACAGGCAAGAACUUUUUUCCCACAGUGUCUUGAGUCUGAUCCUGUUUAUCUUUCUAUAACAAUGGAAACAGAUGUAUUUUUGUGCUUGCAGCUUCCCAGAUGCUCCAUUCUAAAAUGCUGUCUGCUGUUCAAAGACAUUGCUAGUUUUUAAAGCAGUGAGGACUUCACUAAGUUAAUUACUUGAGUCAAGACUUAGAAUUUCUGGGUGCAUAGUGCACCCUCUGCAGGAGAUGUUUCAUAAUCAAGGGUUCACUUGGGGUCCU
RNAcentral lists this long non-coding RNA (683 nucleotides) under Vulpes vulpes (red fox). RNAcentral describes it as "lncRNA (ENSVVUG00000012868.1)". The record is from RNAcentral. Lineage: Eukaryota; Metazoa; Chordata; Mammalia; Carnivora; Canidae.